CCCCUUUUUUCCUCCUUUCCUUUUCCUUUUCCCUUUUUCCCCUUCUUUUCCUCCCAUUUUUUUCCCAUUUUCUUUUCCUUUUUCUUCUUUUUUCUCUUCUUUUCUUCCCCUUUUUCUCCUUUUUCUCCCUUUUUUCUCUUUUUCCCUCUCCUUUCCCAUUCCUUUUCCUCCUUUCCCCUUUCCCAUUCCCUUUUUCCCUUUUCCCUUUCUUUUCCUCCCAUUUUUCUCCUUUUUCCUUCUUCCUUUUUCUUCUUUUCCUCUCCUUUUUCCCCUUCCCUUUCCCCCCUUCCUUUUCCCUUUCUCUUUUCCCCUUUUUUCCCUUUUUCCUUUCUUUUCCUCCCAUUUUUCUCCUUUUUCCUUCUUCCUUUCCCCUCUUUUUCCCCUUUUCCCCCCUUCCCUUUCCCCUUUUUUCCCUCUCCCCUUCUUUUUCCCAUUUUUCUCUCUUUUUUCCUUUCCUUUUUCUUCUUUUUCCCCUUUUCCUCCUUUCCUCUUCCUUUUUCCCUUUUUCCUUUCUUUUCCUCCCAUUUUUUCCCAUUUUCCCCUUCAUUUUCCCUCUUUUUCCCCCUNNNNNNNNNNNNNNNNNNNNUCCCUCUUUAUUUCCUUCUCCUUUCCCCUUCCCUUUUCCAUUCCCUUUUUCCCUUUUCCUCCCAUUUUCCUCCCAUUUUCCUCCCUUUUCCCCUUUCCUUUUUCUUCUUUUUCCCCUUUUCCUCCUUUCCUCUUCCUUUUUUCCCUUUUUCCUUUCUUUUCCUCCCAUUUUUUCCCAUUUCCCCUUCAUUUUCCUUCUUUUUCCCCCUUUUUUCCUCCUUUUCUCCUCCUUUCUUCUCCCUUUUUCUUCUUUUUCCUCUCCUUUUCUUCCCAUUUCUCUCCCUUCCCUUUUCCUCUUUUUCCCUCUCCUUUCCCAUUCCUUUUCCCUCUUUUAUUUCCUUCUCCUUUCCCCUUCCCUUUUCCCAUUCCCUUUUUCCCUUUUCCUCUUUUUUUCCUCCCAUUUUCCUCCCUUUUCCCCUUUCCUUUUUCUUCUUUUUCCCCUUUUCCUCCUUUCCUCUUCCUUUCCCCCCUUUUCCUUUCUUUUCCUCCCAUUUUUUCCCAUUUUCCCCUUCAUUUUCCCUCUUUUUCCCCCUUUUUCUCUCCUUUCCCCUUCCUUUUUCUUCUUCUUUUCUUCCCAUUUUUCUCCUUUUUCUCCCUUUUUUCUCUUUUCCCCUCUCCUUUCCCAUUCCUUUUCCUCCUUUCCCCUUUCCCAUUCCAUUUUUCCCUUUUCCCUUUCUUUUCCUCCCAUUUUUCUCCUUUUUCCUUCUUCCUUUCCCCUCUUUUUCCCCUUUUCCCCCCUUCCCUUUCCCCUUUUUUCCCUCUCCCCUUCUUUUUCCCAUUUUUCUCUCUUUUUUCCUUUCCUUUUUCUUCUUUUUCCCCUUUUCCUCCUUUCCUCUUCCUUUUUCCCUUUUUCCUUUCUUUUCCUCCCAUUUUUUCCCAUUUUCCCCUUCAUUUUCCUGCUUUUUCCCCUUUUUUCCUCCUUUUCUCCUCCUUUCUUCUCCCUUUUUCCUCUUUUUCCUCUUCUUUUCUUCCCAUUUCUCUCCCUUCCUUUUUCCUCUUUUUCCCUCUCCUUUCCCAUUCCUUUUCCUCCUUUCCCCUUUCCCAUUCCCUUUUUCCCUUUUCCCUUUCUUUUCCUCCCAUUUUUUCCUAUUUUCUUCUUCCUUUUUCUUCUUUUCCCCUCCUUUUUCCCCUUCCCUUUCCCCCCUUCCUUUUCCCUUUCUCUUUUCCCCUUUUUUCCCUUUUCCCUUUCUUUUCCUCCCAUUUUUCUCCUUUUUCCUUCUUCCUUUCCCCUCUUUUUCCCCUUUUCCCCCCUUCCCUUUCCCCUUUUUUCCCUCUCCCCUUCUUUUUCCCAUUUUUCUCUCUUUUUUCCUUUCCUUUUUCUUCUUUUUCCCCUUUUCCUCCUUUCCUCUUCCUUUCCCCCCUUUUCCACUUCUUUUUCUCCCAUUUUUUCCCAUUUUCCCCUUCCUUUUCCCUCUUUUUCCCCCUUUUUUCCUCCUUUUCUCCUCCUUUCUUUUCCCUUUUUCUUCUUUUUCCUCUUCUUUUCUUCCCAUUUUUCUUCCUUUUUCCUCUUUUUCCCUCUCCUUUCCCAUUCCUUUUCCCUCUUUAUUUCCCAUUCCUUUUCCUCCUUUCCCCUUUCCCAUUCCCUUUUUCCCUUUUCCUCUUUUUUUCCUCCCAUUUUCCUCCCUUUUCCCCUUUCCUUUUUCAUCUUUUUCCCUUUUUCCUCCUUCCUUUUCCCCAUCCCUCUUUUUCCUCUUUUCUUUUCCCCAUUUUCCCCUCCUUUGUUUUCUUUUCCCCCCUUUUCCUUUCCCUUUUCCCCCUUUUCCUUUCCCUUUUUUUCCCUUUUCCUCCCAUUUUCCUCCCUUUUCCCAUUUCCUUUUUCUUCUUUUUCCCCUUUUCCUCCUUUCCUGUUCCUUUUCCCCCUUUUUCUCUUCUUUUCCUCCCAUUUUUUCCCAUUUUCCCCUUCCUUUUCCCUCUUUUUCCCCCUUUCCCCUUCCUUUUUCUUCUUUUUCCUCUUCUUUUCUUCCCAUUUUUCUCCUUUUUCUCCCUUUUUUCUCUUUUUCCCUCUCCUUUCCCAUUCCUUUUCCUCCUUUCCCCUUUCCCAUUUCCUUUUUCCCUUUUCCCUUUCUUUCCCUCCCAUUUUUUCCUAUUUUCUUCUUCCUUUUUCUUCUUUUCCCCUCCUUUUUCCCCUUCCCUUUCCCCCCUUCCUUUUCCCUUUCUCUUUUCCCCUUUUUUCCCUUUUUCCUUUCUUUUCCUCCCAUUUUUUCCCAUUUUCCCCUUCAUUUUCCUUCUUUUUCCCCCUUUUUUCCUCCUUUUCUCCUCCUUUCUUCUCCCUUUUUCUUCUUUUUCCUCUCCUUUUCUUCCCAUUUCUCUCCCUUCCUUUUUUCUCUUUUUCCCUCUCCUUUCCCAUUCCUUUUCCCUCUUUAUUUCCUUCUCCUUUCCCCUUCCCUUUUCCCAUUCCCUUUUUCCCUUUUCCUCUUUUUUUCCUCCCAUUUUCCUCCCUUUUCCCCUUUCCUUUUUCUUCUUUUUCCCUUUUUCCUCCUUCCUUUUCCCCAUCCCUCUUUUUCCCCUUUUCUUUUCCCCAUUUUCCCCUCCUUUGUUUUCUUUUUCCCCCUUUUCCUUUCCCUUUUCCCUCUUUUCCUUUCCCUUUUUUCCCUUUUCCUCCCAUUUUCCUCCCUUUUCCCCUUUCCUUUUUCUUCUUUUUCCCCUUUUUCUCCUUUCCUGUUCCUUUUCCAUUUUUUCCACUUCUUUUCCUCCCAUUUUCCCCUUCAUUUUCCCUCUUUUUCCCCCUUUUUCCCUCCUUUCCCCUUCCUUUUUCUUCUUUUUCCUCUUCUUUUCUUCCCAUUUUUCUCCUUUUUCUCCCUUUUUUCUCUUUUUCCCUCUCCUUUCCCAUUCCUUUUCCCUCUUUAUUUCCUUCUCCUUUCCCCUUCCCUUUUCCCAUUCCCUUUUUCCCUUUUCCUCUUUUUUUCCUCCCAUUUUCCUCCCUUUUCCCCUUUCCUUUUUCAUCUUUUUCCCUUUUUCCUCCUUCCUUUUCCCCAUCCCUCUUUUUCCUCUUUUUUUUUCCCCAUUUUCCCCUCCUUUGUCUCCUUUUUCCCCCCUUUUCCCUUCCCUUUUCCCUCUUUUCCUUUCCCUUUUUUUUCUUUUUCCUCCCAUUUUCCUCCCUUUUCCCCUUUCAUUUUUCUUCUUUUUCCCUUUUUCCUCCUUCCUUUUCCCCCAUCCCUUUUUUUCCCCUUUUCUUUUCCCCAUUUUCCUCUCCUUUAUCUUCUUUUUCCCCCUUUUCCCUUCCCUUUUUUUCCCUUUUCCCUUUAUUUUCCUCCCUUUCCCGCCCCCUUUCCCCCCCAUUUCCCAUUAUUCCCCAUUNN
This 3884-nucleotide long non-coding RNA is filed under the name Cyanistes caeruleus (blue tit). RNAcentral's name for it is "lncRNA (ENSCCEG00000010394.1)". The record is from RNAcentral. Lineage: Eukaryota; Metazoa; Chordata; Aves; Passeriformes; Paridae.